This 72-nucleotide transfer RNA is filed under the name Candidatus Uhrbacteria bacterium. Its description in RNAcentral is "tRNA-Asn". It matches the Rfam family "tRNA". From Rfam's summary of the family: Transfer RNA (tRNA) molecules are approximately 80 nucleotides in length. Their secondary structure includes four short double-helical elements and three loops (D, anti-codon, and T loops). The record is from RNAcentral. Lineage: Bacteria; Candidatus Uhriibacteriota.
UCCUGGGUAGCUCAGCGGCAGAGCAACUCGCUGUUAACGAGUGGGUCGUGGGUUCGAUCCCCACCCCCGGAG